CUCAUGAUGGAGAAAUCCUAGUAAUAAUGAAUCAUGGGAAGUCAGCAGAGGUCGUAGUAGCAAAGAAGUGGCUGUAAUGGUCAUGGAGCGAAGGCC
Coprobacillus sp. CAG:183 is the source of this 96-nucleotide non-coding RNA. Lineage: Bacteria; Bacillati; Bacillota; Erysipelotrichia; Erysipelotrichales; Coprobacillaceae. The record is from Rfam.